This is a long non-coding RNA of Eptesicus fuscus (big brown bat), 520 nucleotides long. RefSeq lists it as uncharacterized. The record is from RefSeq and is a predicted model, not a curated record. NCBI's taxonomy places the organism in Eukaryota, Metazoa, Chordata, Mammalia, Chiroptera, Vespertilionidae. The transcript has 3 exons.
CUGACCUGUUCAAUCAAGGAGUCCCCUGUGCCCUUCCGUUCUGAGGUACAAAUUCCAAAUCCCAGCUAAUCAGAUGCAAUGAAAGGAUGUUGUUGGCUGGUGCAAGUUCUGACUUGCAUCACCACGGAAGGACGCCAGCCCUGGAUCUGUGCUCACGCCCGCUGACAGAACAGCCUUACAGGGCAGUGCACUGAUCUCCGUGUGCAGCUUGGCGCGUGUUUGCAUAGUUUCCCCAUCUGUGGAAUGGACCUAUGAAGCCGAUGACUCCCUACCCCCAGGGUGCUGUGCGGACAGAGGAAAUAACAUGGCGGAAGACGUAAGCGGCAAAGCUUGCCCAGGGCUGGACUGUGCUUGACAGCUUGUAUUCCCAAACGGAGCUUCACCCAGCGCCUGGACCAGCGGCACGUUAGCGAUUGUACAGACUCAGUCUACCUGUUGGGCGCCCUGGGGUGCUACGGGACUGUAUGGUCUCUGGGGUGACCCAGUAAGGUGUUAUCUGUACCUCAAAUGUGGUUUUACA